CAGUUACAACUAAACUAGAUGGAACAUCAGUCUGUAGAGACGGAGCAGACUGGUGGAGGUUCCUCUCUGGUUCUGUGGGUUUAGCUGCUCUGAUAGCAGCUGUUCUGAUCGUCACCAUUUGGGCCAGAACUAAAGGGAGGAAAACACAUCUGGAUAAAAACACUGUGUGUUAUGAUGAAGAUGAAGCUGCUCUGAACUAUGAAAACAUCAGAACUUCUUCAGUUUGAUCCUCCUGCUUUUCUCAGACUCAGUAGAUUCAGACGCUAAACAUCAG
Xiphophorus hellerii (green swordtail) is the source of this 274-nucleotide long non-coding RNA. RefSeq lists it as uncharacterized. The record is from RefSeq and is a predicted model, not a curated record. The transcript has 4 exons. Lineage: Eukaryota; Metazoa; Chordata; Actinopteri; Cyprinodontiformes; Poeciliidae.